This 549-nucleotide ribosomal RNA is filed under the name uncultured bacterium. Its description in RNAcentral is "bacterial SSU rRNA". It matches the Rfam family "Bacterial small subunit ribosomal RNA", at positions 355 to 895 of the family's 1533-position model. The record is from RNAcentral.
UAGGGAAUCUUCGGCAAUGGGGGCAACCCUGACCGAGCAACGCCGCGUGAGUGAAGAAGGUUUUCGGAUCGUAAAGCUCUGUUGUAAGUCAAGAACGGGUGUGAGAGUGGAAAGUUCACACUGUGACGGUAGCUUACCAGAAAGGGACGGCUAACUACGUGCCAGCAGCCGCGGUAAUACGUAGGUCCCGAGCGUUGUCCGGAUUUAUUGGGCGUAAAGCGAGCGCAGGCGGUUUGAUAAGUCUGAAGUUAAAGGCUGUGGCUCAACCAUAGUUCGCUUUGGAAACUGUCAAACUUGAGUGCAGAAGGGGAGAGUGGAAUUCCAUGUGUAGCGGUGAAAUGCGUAGAUAUAUGGAGGAACACCGGUGGCGAAAGCGGCUCUCUGGUCUGUAACUGACGCUGAGGCUCGAAAGCGUGGGGAGCGAACAGGAUUAGAUACCCUGGUAGUCCACGCCGUAAACGAUGAGUGCUAGGUGUUGGAUCCUUUCCGGGAUUCAGUGCCGCAGCUAACGCAUUAAGCACUCCGCCUGGGGAGUACGACCGCAAGGUU